Molecule: ribosomal RNA, 417 nt
Filed under: Escherichia coli
Lineage: Bacteria; Pseudomonadati; Pseudomonadota; Gammaproteobacteria; Enterobacterales; Enterobacteriaceae
Description: partial 23S ribosomal RNA
Rfam family: Bacterial large subunit ribosomal RNA
Source: RNAcentral
GAAAGGCCAAUCAAACCGGGAGAUAGCUGGUUCUCCCCGAAAGCUAUUUAGGUAGCGCCUCGUGAAUUCAUCUCCGGGGGUAGAGCACUGUUUCGGCAAGGGGGUCAUCCCGACUUACCAACCCGAUGCAAACUGCGAAUACCGGAGAAUGUUAUCACGGGAGACACACGGCGGGUGCUAACGUCCGUCGUGAAGAGGGAAACAACCCAGACCGCCAGCUAAGGUCCCAAAGUCAUGGUUAAGUGGGAAACGAUGUGGGAAGGCCCAGACAGCCAGGAUGUUGGCUUAGAAGCAGCCAUCAUUUAAAGAAAGCGUAAUAGCUCACUGGUCGAGUCGGCCUGCGCGGAAGAUGUAACGGGGCUAAACCAUGCACCGAAGCUGCGGCAGCGACACUAUGUGUUGUUGGGUAGGGGAGCG